GGGAUUACAGGCAUGAGCCACCGCGCCCAGCUUCUGUAUUUCUUUUCAAAUUUUAUUGAGGAUUUUUUAUGUCCUAGCCUGUGGUCUAUCCUGGAGGAUGUUUGUGUGUGAGACAAUGUAUAUUCAUCAACAUCUUAGAUUCCAUUUUGAUUGCUUCCGUAGAAACUGUGUGUCCUUGUGCUGGAACUCCGGUGAACACCUGGCUCAAUAUCCAUUGCUCUUCUCUAGAAAUCCAGCCCAGUUCUCUUGGUUAAAUAUAAGAUAUGUGUAGCAGGCAUUGCUUUUUCUUUCCAGAGACAAAACUCAGGAGGAUUGCCCCUUGAUGAACAAAGCUAACCUGCUGAUUCUUUGAAGCAAGUAACUGGAGAUCCUCCUUUUAGGGGUUUAUAUUCUGGAUUCCAGAAAACAUGCAAACAGGGCCAAUAAAUGCAUCUUUAUGUUUCUGUCCAUUUUAACUUGAUCUAGGAAAAUUCCAACAAAAAACCCACGGUGCUGGAGCAAGAUCUCAGGCUGUGACCUUCUCGAGGAAAGAAGCACUUUCUGUUGUCUGAAAGAAAAGAAAGUGCUUCCUUUCAGAGGGUUACGGUUUGAGAAAAGCAACGUUGAAGUUGACGCUGAUCUUGGUAAUACAUUUGCAGAGCGUGCUGAUCAUCAGACGUGGAUAAUGGUGGGGUUUUGUUUUUUAUCUAAGACAGGGUGUCUGUUCCCCAGGCUGGAGUGCGGUGGCACUUCCAACUUAGAUCUCUUGGGUUCAAGUGGCCCUCUUUUUGGGACAGAGUCUCACUCUGUGGCCCUGGCUGGAGUGCAGUGGCAGGAACUUGGCUCACUGCAAUCUCUGCCUCCUGGGUUCAAGCAAUUCUCCUGCCUCAGCCUCCGGAGCAGCUGGGGUUACAGGCUGUGCCACCAUGCCCAGCUAACUUUUGCAUUUUUAUUAUUGAUUUAUUGAUUUAUUUUUGAGACAGGGUCUGGCUCUGUCACCCAGGCUAUAGGGCAGUGGUGCGAUCUCGGCUCACUGCAACCUCCACCUCCCACCUCAGCCUCCUGAAUACCUGUCUCCAGGCAUGCACUACCACACCUGCCUAACUUUUGUAUUUUUUGUAUAGAUGAGGUUUCACCAUGUUGCCCAGGCUGGUCUCGGACCCUUGAGCUCAAUUGCUCCUCCCGCCUGGGCCUCCAAAACUGCUGUGAUUAAUGGUGUGAGCAAGCGUGCCCUACUCUUGUGUGUUUCUGCUCAAAUUUUAUGGAGGAGCUUUUACAUCCCAGCCUGUGGUCUAUCCUGGAGAAUGUUUGUGUGUGUGACAAUGUAUAUUCUUCAACAUUUUAGAUUCCAUUUGGAUGCUCCCAUCCGGACUGUGUGCCCCUGUACUGGAACUCAAGUGAACACUUGGCUCAACAUCCAUUGCUGUUCUCAUGAAUUCCAGGCCAAUUGUCUUGGUUAAAGACAAGACGGUGUUUCCCUCUUGUUGCCCAGGCUGGAGUGCAAUGGCAUGAUCUCGGAUCACUGCAACCUCCACCUCCCUGGUUCAAGCGAUUCUCCUGCCUCAGCCUCCCGAGCAGCUGGGAUUACAGGCAUGCAUCACCACGCCCGGCUAAUUCUUUGUAUUUUUAGUAGAGAUGGGAUUUCUCCAUGUUGGUCAGGCUGAUCUUGAACUCCCAACCUUAGGUGAUCCACCCACCUCGGCCUCCCAAAGUGCUGGGAUUACAGGCAUGAGCCAUUGUGCCCGGCCCAUUUCAUUUAUUUUUAUGUGUGCUGCUGAAGCAAGCACUUAUGUGUAGGAAUUGUUCUUCCUGUGAGCAUAUGUUGGCCAGCCUGGACCACAUACCAAGAUCCCAUCUCUUUAAAAACACAGAUUACGUGGCACCUGGCACCUGGUCCCAGAGACUUCAUUUGGGUUGGUCAUUUGAAACACUAGCCUCCCAUCAAUUUAGUGUAAUCAAUCCAAAUCAUGUGUCCUUCAUUAAGAGACUAAGAACGCCUCCACGUCUAUCCAGUCUAUUUUGUAAUCCCCAACGGUUGUCAAUAUUAAUAAAAUUUCUUUUCUUUUUCCUA
Long non-coding RNA from Homo sapiens (human), 2050 nucleotides. RefSeq lists it as uncharacterized. Lineage: Eukaryota; Metazoa; Chordata; Mammalia; Primates; Hominidae. The transcript is spliced from 2 exons. The record is from RefSeq and is a predicted model, not a curated record.